RNAcentral lists this ribosomal RNA (303 nucleotides) under uncultured Hymenobacter sp. Its description in RNAcentral is "bacterial SSU rRNA". It matches the Rfam family "Bacterial small subunit ribosomal RNA", at positions 133 to 435 of the family's 1533-position model. Lineage: Bacteria; Pseudomonadati; Bacteroidota; Cytophagia; Cytophagales; Hymenobacteraceae. The record is from RNAcentral.
CAACUGGGGGAUAGCCCGCCGAAAGGCGGAUUAAUACCGCAUAACACUUUUACCCGGCAUCGGGUGUUAGUUAAAGAUUUAUUAGUUGUAGAUGAGGUUGCGGGUCAUUAGCUAGUUGGUAAGGUAACGGCUUACCAAGGCGACGAUGACUAGGGGAGCUGAGAGGCUGGUCCCCCACACGGGCACUGAGAUACGGGCCCGACUCCUACGGGAGGCAGCAGUUGGGAAUAUUGGGCAAUGGGCGAGAGCCUGACCCAGCCAUGCCGCGUGCAUGAAGAAGGCUUUCUGAGUCGUAAACUGCUU